This 460-nucleotide ribosomal RNA is filed under the name uncultured bacterium. Its description in RNAcentral is "partial 16S ribosomal RNA". It matches the Rfam family "Bacterial small subunit ribosomal RNA", at positions 338 to 795 of the family's 1533-position model. The record is from RNAcentral.
CCUACGGGUGGCAGCAGUGAGGAAUAUUGGUCAAUGGGCGCGAGCCUGAACCAGCCAAGUAGCGUGAAGGAUGACUGCCCUACGGGUUGUAAACUUCUUUUAUACAGGAAUAAAGUGGGCCACGUGUGCCUUUUUGUAGGUACUGUAUGAAUAAGGAUCGGCUAACUCCGUGCCAGCAGCCGCGGUAAUACGGAGGAUCCGAGCGUUAUCCGGAUUUAUUGGGUUUAAAGGGAGCGUAGAUGGGUUGUUAAGUCAGCUGUGAAAGUUUGCGGCUCAACCGUAAAAUUGCAAUUGAUACUGGCAGCCUUGAGUACAGUUGAGGCAGGCGGAAUUCGUGGUGUAGCGGUGAAAUGCUUAGAUAUCACGAAGAACUCCGAUUGCGAAGGCAGCUUACUAAACUGCCACUGACAUUGAUGCUCGAAAGUGUGGGUAUCAAACAGGAUUAGAUACCCCAGUAGUC